GAUGAACGCUGGCGGCGUGCCUAAUACAUGCCAGUCGAGCGAACAGAUAAGGAGCUUGCUCCUUUGACGUUAGCGGCGGACGGGUGAGUAACACGUGGGUAACCUACCUAUAAGACUGGAAUAACUCCGGGAAACCGGGGCUAAUGCCGGAUAACAUUUAGAACCGCAUGGUUCUAAAGUGAAAGAUGGUUUUGCUAUCACUUAUAGAUGGACCCGCGCCGUAUUAGCUAGUUGGUAAGGUAACGGCUUACCAAGGCAACGAUACGUAGCCGACCUGAGAGGGUGAUAGGCCACACUGGAACUGAGACACGGUCCAGACUCCUACGGGAGGCAGCAGUAGGGAAUCUUCCGCAAUGGGCGAAAGCCUGACGGAGCAACGCCGCGUGAGUGAUGAAGGUCUUCGGAUCGUAAAACUCUGUUAUUAGGGAAGAACAAAUGUGUAAGUAACUGUGCACGUCUUGACGGUACCUAAUCAGAAAGCCACGGCUAACUACGUG
RNAcentral lists this ribosomal RNA (497 nucleotides) under uncultured bacterium. RNAcentral describes it as "partial 16S ribosomal RNA". It matches the Rfam family "Bacterial small subunit ribosomal RNA", at positions 28 to 507 of the family's 1533-position model. The record is from RNAcentral.